RNAcentral lists this long non-coding RNA (307 nucleotides) under Equus caballus (horse). RNAcentral describes it as "lncRNA (ENSECAG00000046284.1)". Lineage: Eukaryota; Metazoa; Chordata; Mammalia; Perissodactyla; Equidae. The record is from RNAcentral.
AGAAAAAUGAAGCGACUAGAAGAGUGGGAGGGAGGAUGAGGAAGGACGCCUGCGUCCUCGAUUGUCUGGAGUUGGUCGGCAGCCUCCUCCGGACGAGGACAGGUAAAGCCUGGGUAAAGCAGAGCAACUAUCAACAUCUAGUCAAACCUGAGGCCCUGCAGUCUGCAUUAACAAUUGAAACUUCUGCAAUGCAUUUCCGAAGGCUCCUUAGAAGAUCUCACAGAACCAAGCAGCAGUUUUCCGAAGCAGCAACCAAGUGAAGAGUGCUUCUUUGCACUGACUAUCCUUCCUCCUUUUUCACUCUCCA